RNAcentral lists this small nucleolar RNA (102 nucleotides) under Cavia porcellus (domestic guinea pig). RNAcentral describes it as "Small nucleolar RNA U13". It matches the Rfam family "Small nucleolar RNA U13". Lineage: Eukaryota; Metazoa; Chordata; Mammalia; Rodentia; Caviidae. The record is from Rfam by way of RNAcentral.
UUCCUCAGGUUCAUAAGCAUGAUGAUUGGGUGUUCAUGCUUGAUGCAUGACAUGUGCCUCCUUUGAACCUUGUUACGACCUUGGCACAUUACCCAUCUGACA